Molecule: ribosomal RNA, 254 nt
Filed under: uncultured bacterium
Lineage: Bacteria
Description: partial 16S ribosomal RNA
Rfam family: Bacterial small subunit ribosomal RNA
Source: RNAcentral
UACGUAGGUGACCAGCGUUGUCCGGAUUUACUGGGCGUAAAGAGCGCGCAGGCGGUCGUUCAAGUCGAGUGUGAAAGCCCCCCGGCUCAACUGGGGAGGGUCAUUCGAUACUGAUCGACUCGAAGGCAGGAGAGGGAAGUGGAAUUCCCGGUGUAGUGGUGAAAUGCGUAGAUAUCGGGAGGAACACCAGUGGCGAAGGCGACUUCCUGGCCUGUUCUUGACGCUGAGGCGCGAAAGCUAGGGGAGCAAACGGG